This 577-nucleotide ribosomal RNA is filed under the name uncultured bacterium. RNAcentral describes it as "bacterial SSU rRNA". It matches the Rfam family "Bacterial small subunit ribosomal RNA", at positions 102 to 694 of the family's 1533-position model. The record is from RNAcentral.
ACGGGUGAGUAACGCGUGAGCAAUCUGCCCUUCGGAGGGGGACAACAGCUGGAAACGGCUGCUAAUACCGCAUGAUGUAUUCGGGUGGCAUCACUUGGAUACCAAAGAUUUAUCGCCGAAGGAUGAGCUCGCGUCUGAUUAGCUAGUUGGUAGGGUAAAGGCCUACCAAGGCUUCGAUCAGUAGCCGGACUGAGAGGUUGAACGGCCACAUUGGGACUGAGAUACGGCCCAGACUCCUACGGGAGGCAGCAGUGGGGAAUAUUGGGCAAUGGGCGAAAGCCUGACCCAGCAACGCCGCGUGAAGGAAGAAGGCCUUCGGGUUGUAAACUUCUUUGACCAGGGACGAAACAAAUGACGGUACCUGGAAAACAAGCCACGGCUAACUACGUGCCAGCAGCCGCGGUAAUACGUAGGUGGCAAGCGUUGUCCGGAUUUACUGGGUGUAAAGGGCGCGUAGGCGGGACUGCAAGUCAGAUGUGAAAUGCCGGGGCUUAACCCCGGAGCUGCAUUUGAAACUGUAGUUCUUGAGUAUCGGAGAGGCAGGCGGAAUUCCAAGUGUAGCGGUGAAAUGCGUAGA